RNAcentral lists this ribosomal RNA (347 nucleotides) under uncultured bacterium. Its description in RNAcentral is "bacterial SSU rRNA". It matches the Rfam family "Bacterial small subunit ribosomal RNA", at positions 917 to 1267 of the family's 1533-position model. The record is from RNAcentral.
GGGCCCGCACAAGCGGUGGAGCAUGUGGUUUAAUUCGAUGCAACGCGAAGAACCUUACCAGGGCUUGACAUACUACAGAUCUUUUUUGAGAAAGAAUGAGUGCCUUUCGGGAAUGUAGAUACAGGUGGUGCAUGGCUGUCGUCAGCUCGUGUCGUGAGAUGUUGGUUAAGUCCCGCAACGAGCGCAACCCUUAUUUUUAGUUACCAACUUGUUGGGUUCUCUAGAAAGACUGCCGGUGACAAACCGGAGGAAGGUGAGGAUGACGUCAAGUCAGCAUGCCCCUUAUGUCCUGGCUACACACGUGCUACAAUGGCUAAGACAAAGAGUUGCGAGUUCGUGAGAACCAG